This is a long non-coding RNA of Hemicordylus capensis (graceful crag lizard), 2216 nucleotides long. RefSeq lists it as uncharacterized. The transcript is spliced from 3 exons. The record is from RefSeq and is a predicted model, not a curated record. Lineage: Eukaryota; Metazoa; Chordata; Lepidosauria; Squamata; Cordylidae.
GAGCUAGAAAGGGGAGGAGAGAAGAUGAGCGGAAGGCUUAGUGAGGAGCAAUGGAGUUUGCUGCCUCAUGGUCAAAAGCUAGCCUGAAGAAUCCUCUCAUGGAAGGUCUUCUGCAGAUCCUUGGGAGACAGAAUUGCAGGAAGCCUGAAUUCUCUUCCUGGAGUUUGGGGGACUUGCAACAGGGUUUGAAGGAAGCUUUGGUUUGGUUGGAGAAGGGAGACUAAACUGAGGUUUGUCCACCUUCUGUGGCAGGCCUUUCGGAUUAUCAAACAUGCAAAAGCUUGAAGCAGGUUGUGCCAAGCAGCUGGAUAUAAAACAAGAACAUCUCAACUAACAGAGAAAAAUAAAAGCUCAUAGACUUUAAUGUAUUUUGACAUUCAAGGCUGCUCCCUAUGAAUCUCAAUGAUUAUCAUAAGAACAUUUAAGACUAGGCUAAUUCUUUGAAUACACACUUCAGUGGAGAUUUUUUCCUCACUGUUUGAUUAAAGAGGCUCAGCAAAAUCAGCCCUAUACUCUUGCACAACUGACCAAAGAAAGGAACUAGGAAUCAGUCAAAUGGUGUCAAAAACUUGUCAUGCUGCCCAGUAGCAAGUUUUUACAUUUUAUCUACCAAGUCAUAUUGGUUCUACAGCAAACCUUCCAAGAUUUGUAUACUCCAAGAUUUGUAUACUUGGCAAACAAGUUUUAUUUGGCUGACCAGGUCCAUGCUUACUAUUCAUGCCUCUUUUCAAAGUGCCAUGUUUUACUGGGGGAAAAGGUUUAACAGCAUCAUUGCAAGAAUUAGGCAAGUAAACCCAAUUUACCAAGUGUGUGCUACUAUUCAUAAACUAGAAAGAAUCAGCUCACCUGAAGGCAGUACUAGACUUCUCUUACAUGCCAUAAUACAUGUACAUGUAUUAUGUACACUCUUUUCAAAGUGCUAUGUUUUACUGGGGGAAAGGUUUAACAGCAUCAUUGCAGGAAUUAGGCAAGUAAACCCAAUUUACCAAGCGUGUGCUACUAUUCAUAAACAAGAAAGAAUCAGCUCACUUGAAGGCAGUACUAGACUUUUCUUACAUGCCAUAAUACAUUUACAUACAUCCCUACAGAACCAGCACUUGCAGAUUUUGUUAACCUUUGUAACCUGCACCUCAUAUGGGCAUUUCUGUGCCUAGUAAGGAGCACUGCAUUUACAAAUAUCCAUCAACUUUGGCAUGAUAUCGUUACACUAAAAGCUGCCCUGAACCACCAGGUACAUACACCAAGUCAAUUAGUUCUUUUUGGACUUAUCAAAGUAGUGCACAGAUCAGGCUGUCCUUUUUGACAUUAUAAGACUAGUAACGUAUUUAUGUUCUAGGCAUUGCAAAUGAAAACCGAUUUAAGAGGGAUAAUUCUCUCACACCUUUUCCCUAUUUCGAUCUUUAGACAAUGUGUAGGAAAGAGAUAGGUCCAUUUUAUGGCACAACAGUCUAGGCUAUAUUGUAUCAUGUAGAACAUUUCAAACACCCAUUUCUAAGGUCUAAUUUCCAUUUACAUGAUAAACCCGUAUGUAGAAGAUUAUACCACUUUAGAAUGCAGGUGCAGACCCAAUCAGAUUGAAUGGUUUUCAUUUCAUUCCCUGCAAAGAGCAAACAAAAUUUCAAGGAGAAACAUUCUACCCUAGCACUCCUUCAUGUGAUCUUCCAUCUGUAAUCUGAAGUAAUACAAUUGAAACAAAUUUACCACCUCAUUGAAAAGUACAAUUUCCAUUCAAUUAAUGCAUAAAGCUUUCUUUGUCAGCAACAAGGCCAUCAGCUCCCAAUGUCAGAAAAAGACAAAACCCAGCCAGUUGUUGAAAAAUGUGAAGCAAGCAUGCAAAUUAAAGACUUCAUCCAGAAAUGAAGCUUUGCUCACAUGCCAUGGUGCAGAUCUGCUGGCACGACAGCAAGAAAGCAGGCAGAAAGCUAUGUUAUUAUGGAUAUGCUCUGCUUUUUUAAUGAAAAGUUCAUAAAGUGUUAUAUUAUGAUUUGUAUUAUUGUUACUGUUUGCUGUUAAAUGUGUUUGCAUUGUGAUCAGCUCUGGCCACAAUUAUUUUGUGGAAAAGCAGGAUACAAGUUAAAAGUGAAAUGAAAUCAAAUGAAUAAACUGAAACAGUCUUUCUAGCAUCAUAGUAGUUCAAUGAGUGUGAUCUGCUCCCCUGACAACAUUCCUCAAACCUGACCUGCCACUUGAACGUGUCAGAUUUCCAAGUUUGUGGU